Molecule: ribosomal RNA, 1169 nt
Filed under: Leclercia adecarboxylata
Lineage: Bacteria; Pseudomonadati; Pseudomonadota; Gammaproteobacteria; Enterobacterales; Enterobacteriaceae
Description: partial 23S ribosomal RNA
Rfam family: Bacterial large subunit ribosomal RNA
Source: RNAcentral
GGUUAAGCGACCAAGCGUACACGGUGGAUGCCUAGGCAGUCAGAGGCGAUGAAGGACGUGCUAAUCUGCGAUAAGCGCCGGUAAGGUGAUAUGAACCGUUAUAACCGGCGAUUUCCGAAUGGGGAAACCCAGUGUGACUCGUCACACUAUCGUUAAGUGAAUACAUAGCUUAACGAAGCGAACCAGGGGAACUGAAACAUCUAAGUACCCUGAGGAAAAGAAAUCAACCGAGAUUCCCCCAGUAGCGGCGAGCGAACGGGGAGCAGCCCAGAGUCUGAAUCAGCAUGUGUGUCAGUGGAAGCGUCUGGAAAGUCGCAGGGUACAGGGUGAUACUCCCGUACACGAAGAUGCAUGUGCUGUGAACUCGAAGAGUAGGGCGGGACACGUGGUAUCCUGUCUGAAUAUGGGGGGACCAUCCUCCAAGGCUAAAUACUCCUGACUGACCGAUAGUGAACCAGUACCGUGAGGGAAAGGCGAAAAGAACCCCGGCGAGGGGAGUGAAAUAGAACCUGAAACCGUGUACGUACAAGCAGUGGGAGCACCCUUGUGGUGUGACUGCGUACCUUUUGUAUAAUGGGUCAGCGACUUAUAUUCUGUAGCAAGGUUAACCGUAUAGGGGAGCCGAAGGGAAACCGAGUCUUAACUGGGCGUUAAGUUGCAGGGUAUAGACCCGAAACCCGGUGAUCUAGCCAUGGGCAGGUUGAAGGUUGGGUAACACUAACUGGAGGACCGAACCGACUAAUGUUGAAAAAUUAGCGGAUGACCUGUGGCUGGGGGUGAAAGGCCAAUCAAACCGGGAGAUAGCUGGUUCUCCCCGAAAGCUAUUUAGGUAGCGCCUCGUGAAUUCAUCUCCGGGGGUAGAGCACUGUUUCGGCUAGGGGGCCAUCCCGGCUUACCAACCCGAUGCAAACUGCGAAUACCGGAGAAUGUUAUCACGGGAGACACACGGCGGGUGCUAACGUCCGUCGUGAAGAGGGAAACAACCCAGACCGCCAGCUAAGGUCCCAAAGUCAUGGUUAAGUGGGAAACGAUGUGGGAAGGCACAGACAGCCAGGAUGUUGGCUUAGAAGCAGCCAUCAUUUAAAGAAAGCGUAAUAGCUCACUGGUCGAGUCGGCCUGCGCGGAAGAUGUAACGGGGCUAAACCAUGCACCGAAGCUGCGGCAGCGAC